Molecule: ribosomal RNA, 443 nt
Filed under: uncultured bacterium
Lineage: Bacteria
Description: partial 16S ribosomal RNA
Rfam family: Bacterial small subunit ribosomal RNA
Source: RNAcentral
CCUACGGGGGGCAGCAGUGGGGAAUAUUGGGCAAUGGGCGCAAGCCUGACCCAGCAACGCCGCGUGAAGGAAGAAGGCUUUCGGGUUGUAAACUUCUUUUGUCAGGGACGAAGCAAGUGACGGUACCUGACGAAUAAGCCACGGCUAACUACGUGCCAGCAGCCGCGGUAAUACGUAGGUGGCAAGCGUUAUCCGGAUUUACUGGGUGUAAAGGGCGUGUAGGCGGGACUGCAAGUCAGAUGUGAAAACCACGGGCUCAACCUGUGGCCUGCAUUUGAAACUGUAGUUCUUGAGUACUGGAGAGGCAGACGGAAUUCCUAGUGUAGCGGGGAAAUGCGUAGAUAUUAGGAGGGACAGCAGGGGCGGAGGCGGUCUGCUGGACAGCAACUGACGCUGGGGCGCGAAAGCGGGGGGAGCAAACAGGGUUAGGUACCCCAGUAGUC